This 231-nucleotide ribosomal RNA is filed under the name uncultured bacterium. RNAcentral describes it as "partial 16S ribosomal RNA". It matches the Rfam family "Bacterial small subunit ribosomal RNA", at positions 103 to 334 of the family's 1533-position model. The record is from RNAcentral.
CGGGUGAGUAACGCGUGGAUAACCUGCCUCACACAGGGGGACAACAGCUGGAAACGGCUGCUAAUACCGCAUAACACAAGUAAUUCGCAUGAAUAACUUGCCAAAGAUUUAUCGGUGUGAGAUGGAUCCGCGUCUGAUUAGCCAGUUGGCGGGGUAACGGCCCACCAAAGCGACGAUCAGUAGCCGACCUGAGAGGGUGACCGGCCACAUUGGGACUGAGACACGGCCCAA